ACAUGUAUACAACAGAAAUUUAAUGCACCAUAUCCCAUUAAAACUUUGUGAUUAAGCAUGCUUGGGAUAGAGUAGUACUGGGAUGGGUGACUGCUCAGGAAUUCCUAGUGUUUUACAUGCC
Molecule: non-coding RNA, 121 nt
Organism: Picea glauca (white spruce)
Lineage: Eukaryota; Viridiplantae; Streptophyta; Pinopsida; Pinales; Pinaceae
Source: Rfam